GAUGAAGAACGUAGCGAAAUGCGAUACUUGGUGUGAAUUGCAGAAUCCCGUGAACCAUCGAGUCUUUGAACGCAAGUUGCGCCCGAAGCCAUUAGGCCGAGGGCACGCCUGCCUGGGCGUCACACGUCGUUGCCCCCCCAUCUACUCCUUCGGGAUUGCGGGGGGCGGAUGAUGGCCUCCCGUGCGCCUCGUCGCGCGGUUGGCCUAAAUGCCAAGUCCUCGGCGACGCACGCCACGACAAUCGGUGGUUGCGAAACCUCGGUUGCCCGUCGUGUGCGGUCGUCGCGCAUCGAGGGCUCGAAAAAAUUGCCGGGCUUCGGCUCGACUUUCAACGCGACCCCAGGUCAGGCGGGGUUACCCGCUGAAUUUAAGCAUAUCAAUAAGCGGAGAA
RNAcentral lists this unclassified non-coding RNA (391 nucleotides) under soil metagenome. Its description in RNAcentral is "partial contains 5.8S ribosomal RNA, internal transcribed spacer 2, and large subunit ribosomal RNA". The stretch from base 1 to 122 matches the Rfam family "5.8S ribosomal RNA", at positions 35 to 154 of the family's 154-position model. The record is from RNAcentral.